This 258-nucleotide ribosomal RNA is filed under the name uncultured bacterium. RNAcentral describes it as "partial 16S ribosomal RNA". It matches the Rfam family "Bacterial small subunit ribosomal RNA", at positions 96 to 354 of the family's 1533-position model. The record is from RNAcentral.
CGGCGGACGGGUGAGUAACGCGUGGGUAACCUGCCUUAUACAGGGGGAUAACAGUUAGAAAUGACUGCUAAUACCGCAUAAGCGCACGGGAACGCAUGUUUCUGUGUGAAAAACUGAGGUAGUAUAAGAUGGACCCGCGUCUGAUUAGCUGGUUGGUGGGGUAACGGCCUACCAAGGCGACGAUCAGUAGCCGGCCUGAGAGGGUGACCGGCCACAUUGGGACUGAGACACGGCCCAAACUCCUACGGGAGGCAGCAG